AGCGAAAUCUGCCAUGGUUAGUGGGGGACAACGUUCUCGAAAGGGACGCUAAUACCGCAUACGUCCUACGGGAGAAAGCAGGGGACCUUCGGGCCUUGCGCUAUCAGAUGAGCCUAGGUCGGAUUAGCUAGUUGGUGAGGUAAUGGCUCACCAAGGCGACGAUCCGUAACUGGUCUGAGAGGAUGAUCAGUCACACUGGAACUGAGACACGGUCCAGACUCCUACGGGAGGCAGCAGUGGGGAAUAUUGGACAAUGGGCGAAAGCCUGAUCCAGCCAUGCCGCGUGUGUGAAGAAGGUCUUCGGAUUGUAAAGCACUUUAAGUUGGGAGGAAGGACAUUAACCUAAUACGUUGAUGUUUUGACGUUACCGACAGAAUAAGCACCGGCUAACUCUGUGCCAGCAGCCGCGGUAAUACAGAGGGUGCAAGCGUUAAUCNGAAUUACUGGGCGUAAAGCGCGCGUANGUGGUUUGUUAANUUGAAUGUGAAAUCCCCGGGCUCAACCUGGGAACUGCAUCCAAAACUGGCAA
This 529-nucleotide ribosomal RNA is filed under the name Bacterium SB_Bac1. Its description in RNAcentral is "bacterial SSU rRNA". It matches the Rfam family "Bacterial small subunit ribosomal RNA", at positions 119 to 639 of the family's 1533-position model. The record is from RNAcentral.